UACGAAGGGGGCUAGCGUUGCUCGGAAUCACUGGGCGUAAAGCGCGCGUAGGCGGAUUGUUAAGUCAGGGGUGAAAUCCUGGAGCUCAACUCCAGAACUGCCUUUGAUACUGAAGAUCUUGAGUUCGGGAGAGGUGAGUGGAACUGCGAGUGUAGAGGUGAAAUUCGUAGAUAUUCGCAAGAACACCAGUGGCGAAGGCGGCUCACUGGCCCGAUACUGACGCUGAGGCACGAAAGCGUGGGGAGCAAACAGG
Molecule: ribosomal RNA, 253 nt
Filed under: uncultured bacterium
Lineage: Bacteria
Description: partial 16S ribosomal RNA
Rfam family: Bacterial small subunit ribosomal RNA
Source: RNAcentral